UCAUAGUACACGAAGAAAAUUUAUCAUGAAUCUCUCAGUAGCCGUUGCUGUAUUUGUCGUUCUUGCCUUGGUCUUGCAGUCAGAAGCGGGCAAAUUUGGAAAGAGAGUUUUCACUUCUGGAUCGCGACCACAUGAUUGCAGAAAGAAGCAUGUGGAAGAAUCUGAAAGUAUAAAUGAAGAACCUGUUAUAGAUGUUACAAUACAGCCUCUUGAAGUUACAGAAGCUCCUAUAGACGUUACAGAAUCUCCUACAGAAGUUAUAGAAGUUCCUGUAGAAGUUACAGAAGCUCCUACAGAAGUUGCAGAAGCUCCUACAACAGCAACCACGGUAAUCCGCUUCGAUCCAUUCUGUGGUACGUUUGUGGGUAAUUGUCGUGACACCUGUGAGAUUGAUGAAACAGACUUUGGUGCCUGUGGGAACGGUAGUAGUUGCUGUGUUCCAGACAUUUGAAUAACUGAAUGAAUCGUACAUCGGAAGCAUGCAAAAAAUCAAGAAAUCUAAAGACCUUUAACUCCAGAACACUAAAUUUAUUCUUUUUGUGUGUGGGUGAUAUUAGAAUGGAGUCUGUGCAACAUCA
Patella vulgata (common limpet) is the source of this 578-nucleotide long non-coding RNA. RefSeq lists it as uncharacterized. The record is from RefSeq and is a predicted model, not a curated record. The transcript is spliced from 4 exons. Lineage: Eukaryota; Metazoa; Mollusca; Gastropoda; Patellidae.